UCGUUCAAAGUUAAUUGGGCAGACAAAAAUUUGUUUGAUGUUUUUAAGCUUCUGGAUCAUACUUUUAAAAUACCUCACUCUAUUGAUGUCAACAUCUGAAGCCUUACAACAGCAUACCUUUCAAUAAUAUCUCACUCAAUAUUACAUCAUGUGUAAAAAUGCGCAUUUGAAUACAAUUAAAAUGUGU
This is a non-coding RNA of Hydra vulgaris (swiftwater hydra), 187 nucleotides long. Lineage: Eukaryota; Metazoa; Cnidaria; Hydrozoa; Anthoathecata; Hydridae. The record is from RefSeq and is a predicted model, not a curated record.